GGGGGGGGCAAGCGUUGUUCGGAAUUACUGGGCGUAAAGGGCGCGUAGGCGGCCUGCUAAGUCGGACGUGAAAUCCCCCGGCUCAACCGGGGAACUGCGUCCGAUACUGGUGGGCUCGAAUCCGGGAGAGGGAUGUGGAAUUCCAGGUGUAGCGGUGAAAUGCGUAGAUAUCUGGAGGAACACCGGUGGCGAAGGCGGCAUCCUGGACCGGCAUUGACGCUGAGGCGCGAAAGCCAGGGGAGCAAACGGGAUUAGAUACCCCGGUAGUCCUGGCCCUAAACGAUGAGUGCUUGGUGUGGCGGGUAUCGAUCCCUGCCGUGCUGAAGCUAACGCAUUAAGCACUCCGCCUGGGGAGUACGGUCGCAAGGCUG
Molecule: ribosomal RNA, 371 nt
Filed under: uncultured organism
Description: bacterial SSU rRNA
Rfam family: Bacterial small subunit ribosomal RNA
Source: RNAcentral